GAUGAACGCUGGCGGCGUGCCUAAUACAUGCAAGUCGAACGCUGAAGGAAGGAGCUUGCUCUUUCCGGAUGAGUUGCGAACGGGUGAGUAACGCGUAGGUAACCUGCCUGGUAGCGGGGGAUAACUAUUGGAAACGAUAGCUAAUACCGCAUAACAGUAGAUGUUGCAUGAUAUCUACUUAAAAGGUGCAAUUGCACCACUACCAGAUGGACCUGCGUUGUAUUAGCUAGUUGGUGAGGUAACGGCUCACCAAGGCGACGAUACAUAGCCGACCUGAGAGGGUGAUCGGCCACACUGGGACUGAGACACGGCCCAGACUCCUACGGGAGGCAGCAGUAGGGAAUCUUCGGCAAUGGACGGAAGUCUGACCGAGCAACGCCGCGUGAGUGAAGAAGGUUUUCGAAUCGUAAAGCUCUGUUGUAAGAGAAGAACGAGUGUGAGAGUGGAAAGUUCACACUGUGACGGUAUCUUACCAGAAAGGGACGGCUAACUACGUG
RNAcentral lists this ribosomal RNA (497 nucleotides) under uncultured bacterium. RNAcentral's name for it is "partial 16S ribosomal RNA". It matches the Rfam family "Bacterial small subunit ribosomal RNA", at positions 28 to 507 of the family's 1533-position model. The record is from RNAcentral.